CCCCAUAGGCCUGAGGUACUGGAAGGUCCUCAGGCCGAAAGGGGCUCUGCCCGCCCGAGGAUGGGCCGGCGGCCGAUUAGGUAGUUGGUGGGGUAACGGCCCACCAAGCCGAAGAUCGGUACGGGCCAUGAGAGUGGGAGCCCGGAGAUGGACACUGAGACACGGGUCCAGGCCCUACGGGGCGCAGCAGGCGCGAAACCUCCGCAAUGCGGGCAACCGCGACGGGGGGACCCCCAGUGCCGUGGCAACGCCACGGCUUUUCCGGAGUGUAAAAAGCUCCGGGAAUAAGGGCUGGGCAAGGCCGGUGGCAGCCGCCGCGGUAAUACCGGCGGCCCGAGUGGUGGCCGCUAUUAUUGGGCCUAAAGCGUCCGUAGCCGGGCCCGUAAGUCCCUGGCGAAAUCCCACGGCUCAACCGUGGGGCUUGCUGGGGAUACUGCGGGCCUUGGGACCGGGAGAGGCCGGGGGUACCCCUGGGGUAGGGGUGAAGUCCUAUAAUCCCAGGGGGACCGCCAGUGGCGAAGGCGCCCGGCUGGAACGGGUCCGACGGUGAGGGACGAAGGCCAGGGGAGCGAACCGGAUUAGAUACCCGGGUAGUCCUGGCUGUAAAGGAUGCGGGCUAGGUGUCGGGCGAGCUUCGAGCUCGC
Molecule: ribosomal RNA, 644 nt
Filed under: uncultured archaeon
Lineage: Archaea
Description: bacterial SSU rRNA
Rfam family: Archaeal small subunit ribosomal RNA
Source: RNAcentral